This 305-nucleotide signal recognition particle RNA is filed under the name Cebus imitator (Panamanian white-faced capuchin). RNAcentral's name for it is "Metazoan signal recognition particle RNA (ENSCCAG00000008617.1)". It matches the Rfam family "Metazoan signal recognition particle RNA". From Rfam's summary of the family: The signal recognition particle (SRP) is a universally conserved ribonucleoprotein. It is involved in the co-translational targeting of proteins to membranes. Lineage: Eukaryota; Metazoa; Chordata; Mammalia; Primates; Cebidae. The record is from RNAcentral.
GCUGGGUGCCAUGGCCCAUGCCUGUAGUCCCACCUACUUGGGAGGCUGAGGCUGGAGGAUUGCUUGAGUCUGGGAGUUCUGGGCUGUAGUGCUCUAUGCAGAUCAGGUGUCUGCACUAAGUUUGCAAUCAAUAUUGUGAUCUCCCGUGAGUGGGGGACCACCAGGUUGCCUAAGGAGGGGUGAACUGGUGAACUGGCCCAGGUCAGAAACGGAGCAGGUCAAAACUCCCAUGCUGAUCAGCAGUGGGAUUGUGCCUGUGAAUAGCCACUGUACUCCAGCUUGGGCAACAUAGUGAGAUCCUAUCA